This 359-nucleotide transfer-messenger RNA is filed under the name Patescibacteria group. RNAcentral describes it as "g 2-01-FULL-39-21 X3 Standard tmRNA". It matches the Rfam family "transfer-messenger RNA". Rfam says of the family: Bacterial tmRNA, also known as 10Sa RNA or SsrA, is named for its dual tRNA and mRNA-like properties. Its role is to liberate the mRNA from a stalled ribosome. RNAcentral also lists the same sequence under 3 other names. The record is from RNAcentral.
GGGGAUGUAAGGCAGUCGAUGGAAAAGUACCUUGAAAUACUGCAAGCCAAGUUUGACCGACACUUGUCAAAAAGGGUCGAAAAACAAAAGCUAAUCGAAAAGAUUACGCUCCAGCCUACGCUUUUGCAGCUUAAGCUGGCAUCCUGAGGUUUGUUUCUCAACCGAGCCGAUUGGGUGUAAACCAGUUGGGAUUUAGCUAUUAGCUUAUGGUUUUUAGCUUUUAGCUGAAAAACAAAAGCCUUACUUUAAAUCUUUUUGUUGCUUUUUAAAAUUUAAAGAAAAUAACCAAAGCAAAUAAGCUUGUAGAAAGUAUUUCGAGAUUUUUCCAGAUCCGGGCUCAACUCCCGGCAUCUCCACAC